This 253-nucleotide ribosomal RNA is filed under the name uncultured bacterium. RNAcentral's name for it is "partial 16S ribosomal RNA". It matches the Rfam family "Bacterial small subunit ribosomal RNA", at positions 524 to 776 of the family's 1533-position model. The record is from RNAcentral.
UACGUAGGGUGCGAGCGUUGCCCGGAUUCAUUGGGCGUACAGCGCGCGCAGGCGGCGCGGUGCAUCCCGCGUGAAAUCGCCCGGCUCAACCGGGCGGGGUCGCGGGAGAUGGCCGCGCUGGAGCACGGGAGGGGGCAGUGGAAUUCCCGGUGUAGUGGUGGAAUGCGUAGAGAUCGGGAGGAACACCAGUGGCGAAGGCGACUGCCUGGACCGUGGCUGACGCUGAGGCGCGAAAGCGUGGGGAGCGAUCCGG